Anolis carolinensis (green anole) is the source of this 2719-nucleotide long non-coding RNA. RefSeq lists it as uncharacterized. The record is from RefSeq and is a predicted model, not a curated record. Lineage: Eukaryota; Metazoa; Chordata; Lepidosauria; Squamata; Anolidae. The transcript has 5 exons.
GAUUCCAUCCUUCAAAAUAUUGGGAUUUGUAGUCUUUAGGGAACAUUUUUUAUCAAUCACAGGCAGGGAUUUCUUGUGUCUCAACAAACAAUAAGUCCCAGGAUUCAGCCAUGGCAGUUAAAGUGGAAUCAUUGUGCUGUAACCGUGGAUUAAGAAAGGGCUCCUAAGCAGAAAUCAGUAUUAUAUGGCAUUUGCUAUUACAGUAGAGUCUCACUUAUCCAAUCUAAACGGGCCGGCAGAAGCUUGGAUAAGCGAAUAUUUUGGAUAAUGAGGGAUUAAGGAAAAGCCUAUUAAACAUCAAAUUAGGUUAUGAUUUUACAAAUUAAGCACCAAAACAUCAUGUUAUAAAACAAAUUUGACAGAAAAAGUAGUUCAAUAUGCAGUAAUGUUAUGCUGUAAUUACUGUAUUUACGAAUUUAGCACCAAAAUAUCACGAUAUAUUGAAAACAUUGACUACAAAAAUGGCUUGGAUAAUCCAGAAGUUUGGAUAAGCGAGGCUUGGAUAAGUGAGACUCUACUGUAUUGUAAACUUUUUAAUUAGCUUCCAAGCCAGUAUUGUACAAGCAUCAUAUGGGAAGAAACCACAGCAUUGGAAGGAGGAACAGCGAUGGGAAACUAAGUUUGUAGAAUUCCCCAUGGCUUUUGCAUGACACUGGAUGAUAGAUGAUACCCUUUAAGUGUCUUUGUACAACAAAGCAGAGCUUCUCGCAAGGAAGCAGACAUGGAAUUGAUGCAAUAUGGGCUUUUCCAGAGGCUGCCCCAAACCGAGCUCCAUGAAAAUGUCAAUGGAUCAGCAAGAAUGACCAAACGCUUCGCUGCAGUUUACAAAACAAACAGUUUGGAAAUCCUGAAUCUUGGCCAAGGAAUUAAAAUCCCAGCUCACGUCAGUACUGUAUUGUAAACGGAAGCACUGUCUGAGUCCACAGUAACCACAAGUGUUUCUAAUUAUCAUACAACAUGGAAGACACCUGAUCUUGUAUGAUCUUGGAAAAUACAUAUGGUGGAACCUGGUCAGUGUUUUCACAAAAGACCACUACCAGAAUACUAGGGAUCUCCAGAAGAAGAAGAUGUGCAAAGCCUUUGAUGGUGUGGAUCACAACAACAACUCAAACCACAAUUGAUCACUUGAGAAGAAACUGGUGUACCACAUUUGAUUGUUCUGAUGUGCUGCAGUCAAGAACUCAGAAGACACUUACUUGGAAGGGAAGUCACAAAGGAACUUGAUAAGAUGUAAAGGAGUCCCAGCCACUGAAGUUUUAAAAGCUGGUAAAAGGAACAAUAAAGACUGGCAACAAAGAAAAGUUACUGAACCCAAUCUGACUAAGUCCAACAAAUUAGAUAUAUCAAUUAUGUUUGGGCAGUACCAUUUCAGACUGCAGGUGAGUGAGUCAUUUAUUUUACUACUCUUCCAUAACAUCAACUUUAAACUAACAUAUUAGAAAUAUGUCUAGCCUAGACCUUUGCUCCUGGCAUAUUUGCCAUUUGAUAUGAAUAGAUAUGUGCCUAUAGGAGAAACCCGUAUACAGCUUCACCUGCAUUAUAAAGUGGCACAAGGCACUUCGGGCUUAUCGCCUCAGCAAGACUGAAACUGGAAACCAUGUUUAAAAAAUUGUUAUGUUUCCCUUCGACAAAAUUAUCAGUCUCUAAACCAAAGCUGAUAAAUCUCUGCAUAAAAUGUUAUUUAGUUAGUUCUUUAGUUUAUUUCUAUGCUACCUUUCUGAAAUCUGUCAAGACAGCAUAUAUUAUUGAAAAAUAAAACAACAAUUACACAAACAUACUGUGAUGCAAUACAAAGAAAAACAUAUUAAAACUAUAUUGAAAGGUCUACUUCCUACACAAAAAGAGAGUAGGGACCAAUUUACAACUUCAGAGUAGUUGGAAAUGGGAGCGGUCAACCCCCCUGCUUAAGGAGCUCCAUUGGCUGCCAUUCACUUUCCGGUCCCAAUUCAAGGUGCAGGUAAUCACCUACAAAGCCCUGAACGGUUCGGGACCUGUCUACCUUCACGACCACCUUUCCCCCGAUGAGACUACAAGAUCUCUUCGAUCUUCUGGGGAGGCUUUCCUCUCGUUCCCCUCACUAUCACAGGUUUGGAUUGUUGGAACGAGGGCCUUCUCUAUGGUGGCCCCUCAGCUUUGGAUUUCCCUCCGUAGGGAGAUCAGACUGGCCCCAACCCUGUCUGCCUUUAUUAAACAGCUAAAAACAUGCCUUUUUAAAUGUGCAUUUGAAUAAUCAAUGACAUGUUAGACCCCUCUCAUUGACAUACUGUUUCCUCACAUUUUAUUUUCCCUCCUACCUAUCCUAACCCAAAUUAUCUCAGGAAACGCUCUGACACUUGUCCAGGCACUUUAUUAAAGGUCUUGAAAUUAUGCACUUUUGACUUGAUCGCCCCCAUUUUAUCCAUUGAUGGUGAUGUUCUUUUUUUUUUUUACCUUCCCUAUCUGGAUAUUACCGUGUUUUUGUAUUUUGUGUUUUUAAUUUGCUUAUUAUAUCUGAAUGUUAUGUUGAUAUUGUUUUUAUAUUGGUUUUAUCUGUCAUAUUUUGUUUUUGUUUGGGCUUGGCCCCAUUUUAGCCACCCCGAGUCUCUUCGGGGAGAUGGUGGCGGAGUAGAAAAAUAAAGUAUUAUUAUUAUUAUUAUUAUUAUUAUUAUUAUUAUUAUUAUUAAAUGUUAUUGUGCUCUACCAUAAUAUAAUGUAAUAUACAUGGUGCUAAUGGCACUAU